UGUUCAGGUAGAGUGAUCCUUGUCUGUUACUCCCUUUGGAGGGCAGGUUGGAACAUGACGACUGGGUCUGGGUGAGUCAUUAGGGCCUCUGUGCGGCCAGGGCUGACACACCCUGACUCUGCACAGAAGAG
Small nucleolar RNA from Manis pentadactyla (Chinese pangolin), 131 nucleotides. RefSeq annotates it as U8 small nucleolar RNA. The transcript has a single exon. Lineage: Eukaryota; Metazoa; Chordata; Mammalia; Pholidota; Manidae. The record is from RefSeq and is a predicted model, not a curated record.